GAUGAAGAACGUAGCGAAAUGCGAUACGUAAUGUGAAUUGCAGAAUUCAGUGAAUCAUCGAAUCUUUGAACGCAUAUUGCGCUCUCUGGUAUUCCGGAGAGCAUGCUUGUUUGAGUAUCAGUAAACACCUCAACUCCCUUUUCUUUUUUGAAAUUGGAGCUGGACUUGAGUGAUCCCAACGCUUUCUUCCAAGAAAGUGGCGGGUUGCUUGAAAUGCAGGUGCUGCUGAACUUUUCUCUGAGCUAUAAGCAUAUCUAUUUAGUCUGCCUAAAAAACAGAUUAUUACCUUUGCUGCAGCUAACAUAAAGGAGACUAGUUCUUGUGCUGACUGAUGCAGGAUUCACAGAGACAGCUUCGGCUGACUUUGUAAACUCGAUCUCAAAUCAAGUAAGACUACCCGCUGAACUUAAGCAUAUCAAUAAGCGGAGGA
Molecule: unclassified non-coding RNA, 430 nt
Filed under: soil metagenome
Description: partial contains 5.8S ribosomal RNA, internal transcribed spacer 2, and large subunit ribosomal RNA
Rfam family: 5.8S ribosomal RNA (bases 1-120)
Source: RNAcentral